GUUGCUUCAUUCUUUCCUUGCUUUGCCGUGCGUUUUGUCCAAUUCUUUGUUCAAAACGUCAAGAACCUGGACAAUUUGCAGUCAAGACCUGCUACCGGUAACACUAUGGGAAUGUUUUUCAGUGGAACAGACGGGCCUGGGGGCUCAGGGAAACUCUCCCUAGCCUUGAGAGAUUCACUCAGCCAGAACUAAAAAUGAGAGAGUCCCAGCUAUGAACUCUGAAAAGCAGAAGGAAAAUUAUUUUUUCCUCCCCUACCCUGGGAACUCCUGGAAGAUAAGGACCAUCAUCAUGUCGCCUGAAGUAUUUCUCUCCUAGGCCCCCACAGUGUGUGUUCACAAUGGCCUCAUUCCCCUUGCUGGCUAAUGCAGAGCUGGAAGAAGGUAUAUUCAAGCCUUUUCUUGCACAGCAAGGAGGAUGACUAAGGAGCUAAGAGAUGUGAGCCGAAGCCUCCCUCAGUGUCUAUUUGCUGACCCAAUAACCCAUCUUGAGCAUUCCUGAAGUUGGUGAAAACCAGCUCUUCACUUGAUAUAAUCUUGAAUAAAAAAAGAAAGCAUUUCCC
Molecule: long non-coding RNA, 560 nt
Filed under: Homo sapiens (human)
Lineage: Eukaryota; Metazoa; Chordata; Mammalia; Primates; Hominidae
Description: HSALNT0018172
Source: RNAcentral